CACACUCCCGCCUGACCGCGGGUCAGGGGCAGUAAUAUGGCUGCGCCCGUGAGCGUGCCGGGGGCACCGCUAGAGCGGGCGGUCUAGUCCGGUCCUGUGGUGGGGAGAGCUGGUCUGUGCCGCGCCGUGUCGCUACCCUGCUUCGGCACUCCUGCAUGGAGCCGCGGGAGUCCUGGGCGGCCUUGGCGGCUGGUGGAGUUGCUGGUGUCUGUGUUGACUUGAUCCUUUUUCCCCUGGAUACUGUAAAAACCAGACUGCAGAGUCCCCAAGGAUUUAGGAAGGCUGGUGGCUUUCGUGGCAUCUAUGCUGGUGUUCCUUCCACUGCUAUAGGAUCCUUUCCAAAUGCUGCUGCAUUUUUUAUCACCUAUGAGAAUGUGAAAUCCAUGCUGCACUAUGGCUCUACACCUUACUUGACUCCAGCAACACACAUGGUGGCUGCCUCCCUUGGAGAAGUGGUUGCAUGCCUCAUACGGGUUCCAUCUGAGGUUGUCAAGCAAAGGGCCCAGGUUUCUCCUUCCUCGAGUACCCUCCGAAUUCUCUCCCACACCUUGUAUCGUGAGGGUAUUCAAGGACUUUAUCGGGGUUAUAAAAGCACAGUAUUAAGAGAGGGAACAGUGGAGGAGGUAUGGGUGAGAGCAGUUUCUGGGAUGGAGGCACAGUUUCAGUUGAGAAAGCUCUUACAAGAUUCCUUUCUCUCUGGUACAAUUUCCCCUCUGGGAAUCCUUAAAGGUGGAUUUGCAGCUGCAGUCACCACACCUCUUGAUGUAGCGAAGACAAGAAUUAUGUUGGCAAAGGCUGGUUCCAGCAACGCUAGCGGGAAUGUUCUGGCUGCCCUCGGUGGCAUCUGGAGGACACAAGGCCUGUCAGGCUUGUUCGCAGGUGUUGUCCCACGGAUGGCAGCCAUCAGCCUGGGAGGCUUCAUCUUCCUGGGGACAUACGAGAAGACUCGCCAGCUGCUGCUCUGACCCAGCCCGGCCGCUCCUGCUGGUGCUCGCCGAAGAGCUGGAGAAGCUGCCGAGCUGGACUGAGUCCGCCCGCGAACGCAGCUUCCUCCUGCCGCCCCUCGCCGUACUGCAGCAGCUGUUCAGCAGGCUGAGAGCCGCUUUCACCGUUAAAGAAAAGUAAAUCCUCCAAUAAUCCAAUUUCCCAAACAUGAAAUUUUCCUGCAUGGAAAGUGAGUGAGGUCAUUGUGAGAGUCGUGCCAAAAAAGUCAUGUUUGGGGGGUAAACAGCUAAUUACGGUGGCUGAGAAAGGCGUUAUUAGAACUCCUGCAGGGAAAAAUGUUUUGCAAACCUCCAGAUCGUGGGCUGAGAGGGGAGGCUGAAAUAAAGCGAGUUUUCAUAAUUCAGUGGCACCUGCCUUGUAACAGAGGGAGGGAUUUUCUGGUCGGGGAAGGGGCUGAUAGAGUUACAGCCUGCUGCCCUCCAACAGCACUGAAAGUAUUCCAGGUUGGGGGAGAAUUCUUUGUAGAAGACAAUAAUCCAUUUGUUUCUGAUUUGAGCCUUAUUUGUGAAAGUUUAUAUUCCUGUUUAUACCUACAGGUGCUCAGCAAGCAUUCCUGUGUGGUAGCCAGUGCAGCUUUAUUAAUUAGACUCACAUUUCUCUGGUAAAAGCACAGGCUUGUAUUAUUUUACAGCUGUGCUUGUGCAAAGACAUGCAGCUCUGCCUUCUUUUGGUCUUCUUCCCUCAGCAGCUGAAGGAGCUGGAAAUGCCGAAGCCCGGGAGGGAGGCCGGGAAGGCAAGGCAGGGAGAGCGCCCAAGUUCUCCUGCGACGGACGGAUGGAUCCUGAGGGCUCUCAGGGGGCUGCUGGCAGGCGGAGCAAACCUCUGCUCUUGCUCUCAUGUUAGGAGAGAAAAGCUGCAGUGGCCAAAAUGGUGCAGGGACGAGCUCGGUGAAAAAGCCUUCUUGAAAUUACUCAAAAUUAUCACCAGAGCCUGGGGUGGGGGCCCCAAGUUUACACCAGCAACUUGGGUAGUGGUGCUUGACAAGGUUGUGAUGUGGAGGGUGUUUGCGUGGGGACACCUGGGCAGACACAGCCGAGCUGCUGCACUGAGCGCCUUUGGCACGCACCGAACGGGCCCUCCUGGGGCUGCGCCGGUGCGGUGGGGCGAGAGGUUCACGGGUUUGCCCUGGGCUCAGCCAUGAUGUUUGGCAGUCGAGGGGGCCCCUUGCACCUGGGGGUGAGGUGGUGGGUGCUGGCUGCCACGGGGCUGUGUGAUGAGUCGUGCUGUGGUGCGCAGGGCGGCUGUGCGCUGGGUGCUGGGACUCAGUGCACCGUGAGUGCCUGCUGUCAGGUGUGAGAGGGGUGGCAGAGCCCAGCGCAGCUCGUGCAGCCAUAGCAGCACUGAGGCAUCGGCGUCGUCCCGGUGCCAUCACACGCGUGCACCUGCUGGUCUGCGCACGCUCCUUCCGAGUCAUCGCAACGCUGCAGAGUCAACUGAAGUGGACCCUGUGUGACAUGCUGCCCCGGGCUGCUGGAAUUUGAGGCUGUUCUCCUCAUUAGGAACAUAAAGGUGUAGGGAGAAGAAAAGCCAAACCAGUUAAAGGAAGAAUUCAAGCUUAUCUCCAAAGCUGCCUCUGGAAUUUCCAUACUGGGUGAGGUUUAGGUUUGAGAAAGCCAUAAGCGUUCACAACUGCAGCUGAGUCUGGUGCCCAUUUUUCUUGCAUACUUACACACACUCACACCCCACCUGUUCCAUUUGCGGUGCCAAGAUCAGGGCACUGGCCAGAUACAUUUCUAAUACAGCAACUUGCUCAAGUAUUUCUCACGAGUUCUUCACUGCGUCUUUCCCUACAGCCCCAACUCCCACCCCAGCACCUCAUGCUGACCUGCAGCAUCUCAGGGGAAAGCUGCGGCUCCAGUUUCAGCAGCAGUGAUUUUGGCAGUUAGUCUGCAUUUUCAUCAAAGACAGAAAAGGGUAUAGCAAUGGAUUAGAAUUUUAUUUAAUUUUCAACUGAAACUCCCA
Grus americana (Whooping crane) is the source of this 2967-nucleotide RNA transcript. It is a transcript of the gene named solute carrier family 25 member 26, with no coding region annotated. NCBI's taxonomy places the organism in Eukaryota, Metazoa, Chordata, Aves, Gruiformes, Gruidae. The record is from RefSeq and is a predicted model, not a curated record. The transcript is spliced from 11 exons.